ACUCCUGCGGGAGGCAGCAGUGGGGAAUUUUGGACAAUGGGCGCAAGCCUGAUCCAGCCAUGCCGCGUGCGGGAAGAAGGCCUUCGGGUUGUAAACCGCUUUUGUCAGGGAAGAAAAGGUUCUGGCUAAUACCUGGGACUCAUGACGGUACCUGAAGAAUAAGCACCGGCUAACUACGUGCCAGCAGCCGCGGUAAUACGUAGGGUGCAAGCGUUAAUCGGAAUUACUGGGCGUAAAGCGUGCGCAGGCGGUUAUGCAAGACAGAGGUGAAAUCCCCGGGCUCAACCUGGGAACUGCCUUUGUGACCGCAUGGCUAGAGUACGGUAGAGGGGGAUGGAAUUCCGCGUGUAGCAGUGAAAUGCGUAGAUAUGCGGAGGAACACCGAUGGCGAAGGCAAUCCCCUGGACCUGUACUGACGCUCAUGCACGAAAGCGUGGGGAGCAAACAGGAUUAGAAACCCCUGUAGUCCCAU
RNAcentral lists this ribosomal RNA (472 nucleotides) under uncultured organism. RNAcentral describes it as "partial 16S ribosomal RNA". It matches the Rfam family "Bacterial small subunit ribosomal RNA", at positions 335 to 798 of the family's 1533-position model. The record is from RNAcentral.